Molecule: ribosomal RNA, 491 nt
Filed under: uncultured bacterium
Lineage: Bacteria
Description: partial 16S ribosomal RNA
Rfam family: Bacterial small subunit ribosomal RNA
Source: RNAcentral
GUGCACGCUGGCGGUAGGCCUCACACCUGCCAGUCGAACGGCAGCACAGUAAGAGCUUGCUCUUACGGGUGGCGAGUGGCGGACGGGUGAGGAAUACAUCGGAAUCUACUUUUUCGUGGGGGAUAACGUAGGGAAACUUACGCUAAUACCGCAUACGACCUACGGGUGAAAGCAGGGGAUCUUCGGACCUUGCGCGAUUGAAUGAGCCGAUGUCGGAUUAGCUAGUUGGCGGGGUAAAGGCCCACCAAGGCGACGAUCCGUAGCUGGUCUGAGAGGAUGAUCAGCCACACUGGAACUGAGACACGGUCCAGACUCCUACGGGAGGCAGCAGUGGGGAAUAUUGGACAAUGGGCGCAAGCCUGAUCCAGCCAUACCGCGUGGGUGAAGAAGGCCUUCGGGUUGUAAAGCCCUUUUGUUGGGAAAGAAAAGCAGCAGGUUAAUACCCCGCUGUUCUGACGGUACCCAAAGAGUAAGCACCGGCUAACUUCGUG